Molecule: small RNA, 27 nt
Filed under: Bombyx mori (domestic silkworm)
Lineage: Eukaryota; Metazoa; Arthropoda; Insecta; Lepidoptera; Bombycidae
Description: ovarian small RNA-23204
Source: RNAcentral
UAGUUUAUACUUGUAGGCUAUUUGGUU